RNAcentral lists this ribosomal RNA (544 nucleotides) under uncultured bacterium. Its description in RNAcentral is "bacterial SSU rRNA". It matches the Rfam family "Bacterial small subunit ribosomal RNA", at positions 245 to 806 of the family's 1533-position model. The record is from RNAcentral.
CUGGUUGGAGGGGUAACGGCCCACCAAGGCGACGAUCAGUAGCCGGCCUGAGAGGGUGAACGGCCACAUUGGGACUGAGACACGGCCCAGACUCCUACGGGAGGCAGCAGUGGGGAAUAUUGCACAAUGGGGGAAACCCUGAUGCAGCGACGCCGCGUGAAGGAAGAAGUAUCUCGGUAUGUAAACUUCUAUCAGCAGGGAAGAAAAUGACGGUACCUGACUAAGAAGCCCCGGCUAACUACGUGCCAGCAGCCGCGGUAAUACGUAGGGGGCAGGCGUUAUCCGGAUUUACUGGGUGUAAAGGGAGCGUAGACGGAAGAGCAAGUCUGAUGUGAAAGGCUGGGGCUUAACCCCAGGACUGCAUUGGAAACUGUUUUUCUAGAGUGCCGGAGAGGUAAGCGGAAUUCCUAGUGUAGCGGUGAAAUGCGUAGAUAUUAGGAGGAACACCAGUGGCGAAGGCGGCUUACUGGACGGUAACUGACGUUGAGGCUCGAAAGCGUGGGGAGCAAAGAGGAUUAGAUACCCUGGUAGUCCACGCCGUAAA